GCUCCCUUCAGGAGCAAAAAUAAUACAAUUAAAAUGAUACAGAGAAGAUUAGCAUGGCCCCUACUUAAGGAUGACAAGCAGAUUCCUAAAGCGUUCCAUAGUAUC
RNAcentral lists this small nuclear RNA (105 nucleotides) under Leptobrachium leishanense (Leishan spiny toad). The record is from RNAcentral. Lineage: Eukaryota; Metazoa; Chordata; Amphibia; Anura; Megophryidae.